RNA transcript from Lagopus leucura (white-tailed ptarmigan), 3917 nucleotides. RefSeq lists it as uncharacterized. The transcript has 18 exons. NCBI's taxonomy places the organism in Eukaryota, Metazoa, Chordata, Aves, Galliformes, Phasianidae. The record is from RefSeq and is a predicted model, not a curated record.
CCCCGCGGGAGGAGGCAGCCGCGCCGCACUGGUUGCAGGCGCCGUCGGGCCGGCGUCUUCCCAGAGCUCCUGUGUCACCUAAAGGGCAGCUAUGGAUCUCGAGGCGGAGGUAAAGAAGCAGGUGAACCCUUUCUACUGCAAUAUUUGCAAAAUCUGGUGUGCUUCCGCAUUAAACUUGCAGACUCACUUCCUUGGAUUCAAGCACAAGAAGGUUGAAGAAGCCCUGAAGGCUCAUGGCAUUGUUAAAACUGCGAGUGGUACAGGGGACCGAGUGAAAGCACCUCUGAAACUUCCUGGUUACGUGCAAGCUAAGCCAGAAAGGUAUCAUGGACAGACCUUGGAAGAACAGCUUAAUACAUGUAAAGAUUCAGAACCUGCACUUGGACUUAAUUAUAUAAUUGAAUAUCGAUCAAAAGAUAAUUUUCCUUUUCUCUAUGAGUGUCAACUGUGCCACUGUAAAACAGGACUGAGCAACAUGUUCAUGCAUGUUUGUGGCUCCAAGCACAGACUGGCAUACCUGAAACAACAUUAUCCUGAGAUAGCAGAAUCUGAUGAAGUUAAGGGUAAAGGCUCUGAACUGAACAGAAAAGUUAGGCAAGUUGCAUUAACAAUUGAGAAGAAGGAAGGAAGAAAACAAUUAAAGGUUAUUAUAGAAGCUCCAGUAAUCAGGAAAAGAUGGCAAGAAUAUCCUAAUGCAGAUGAUAGCCCAUCAAAAGCUAAAGUUCAGCAUGUGGAUACAUCACUUAGUAAUGAAGAAGGAAUGGACUGUAAAAAUAAGGAUGGAAAAUUGCCAGAUCCGAUUCAAGAAGAAAAGAAUGUUCAAGAGGAGCAGGAACAAUGUCAGAAAGAACAGACAAUACCAGAUGAGAAGGUUGGAACUAACACGGCUGUUGAAAGCACUAAAGGCAACCUCACCGAAGAAGGCAGCAGUUCUGAAAAAUGUGAGACCAGUAUACAACUGCAAGAAGAAAACGAGGAAGUUGAGCAAGCAUCUGCAGCAGCUGCUGAAGAAUUCACUAGUCAGGAAGAACUGCUGAGUUACCUGCAAAGUUUUGAGAUACUGAAUGAAGAUGAUGCUGCUUUUAUCCUAAAAGUCACACAGACUCUCACAGAUGCAUUGGUGGAAUAUCGUCAGCAAGCUGCAUCAAAAAAAGACCUCUUAGAUAAUGAAUGUAAUGGAGAAGAAGCAUUGGAACGUUCUACAGAACAAUCUGAGCUGACUUCGGCAGAUAUUAGUGAUUCUGAUACUGACAAUUCAAGCAGCCGAUCGGCUAAAAAGUCCUUAUCAAUAAAUGAGGAAGAUGAACUGCAAAACUUUUCAACUGGCUCUUUGGACACAGCAUAUGAGAACAACGUCACCGCUGAAUUUUUGAACAGCGUGAGAAAUAUGAAUGUUGAGGAAGUUACUGCUACUCUACACAAAAUAGCAGCUACAAAUCCAGCUUUCAGAGGUAUUUCAUGUAUACUUGAAGACACAAACAUGUAUGAGAAUGAAUGGAUAUUCCAAACGUUGUGAAGAUCCUGACUGAAAGUGGGACUCUGAGAAGACCAAGCAAUGGCAGCACACACUGACAUGGAUCCCAUUGGCCUCCUUGCCCACAAGGACAUACUGCUUGGCUCAUGGCCAGCUUGCUGUCCACCAGGACACCCAGCUCCUCUGUAGUGCUCCUCUCCACUGCUCUCCCCCAUCUUCCCAUCUACAUCAUAGAAAGGUACUAGAUUGGUCAAGCAUGAAUCUGUGUUGACUACUAAUAACCUUCUCUUCCACUACAGCAGUCAGCAGUACAAAUGCAUCCUACAGCAAACAGUCAAAUUAUCCCCUGUGGCUGCAAGGCCAUACUGAAAGGCUAUUGAAAUUAGGGGUAUCCUCCCAUAUAAAGAUUAUGAAUUGGUCUCCUGUUUUUCGAUAAAGAUUAAAAACUACAACAAAACAGUGCUGUCAGUUCAAUUCCGAGUUAGGUGCAUGGAUUAUAGGUAACUUUUGGAGAGGAGUUAACUGGAAGUGUUAGCAAGUCAACCUCUGCUGAGUUUGCUUGCAAAUUUGCGGAUAUAUUUCAAGAGAUGUAACCCGACUAUACUUACGAAAUGCUGACUUGGUAGUGAAAGAAUCUUUUGUCUUCUCUUAUUUUACCACUAUAAGCAUGAAGUGAAAGCUGGCUUAUACUGUCUUUCAAUUCAUGCUCUUUUAAAGUGAGGGUUUUUUUUGCUUUUUUUUUUUUUUAAACCUAUAGUUAUAGUUUUUUUUUUUUACUGUAUAUAGACAGAGAUUCUGUAUGUUAGCUGCUACUAAUUUUGUAGGGUGAUAGAAAAAUGUUUUGGAUGGUUACAGACUUAUGUUUGGGGAAAAGAAUUUAAAAAAAUUAAAUUGUGUGGGUCAAUUUUGCUUCCUGAGUAGCAUUCAUUGCUUCUAAUUAAAAUUCUUCAGCAUUGCAGUCAAAAGCUGGCAUGAUACAGACAUGGUGGAGCCAGAUCGCAAUGUUUUGUAUUGUUAACUUUUUUUAAUGUUAACUUACUGUUUUUGGACAUCUGGAUGAAAUUGAGAGUCCUCAUCUUUGUGUUUUCACAUCUUUGCAUCCUGGAAUGCAAGAUGCUAUGAAAAAUAAGGUAACAAAGAAAGCAGCAGUUAAGGUGUAUGGUUAGUUAGGAAUGAAAACAGUUCAUCGACAGUUAAAGAAAACACAAAACAAUUACUGCUUUAAAGUAAUAAUGAAAAAUCUCUGGAAUGCCUUUAAAUAUGUUCUCAUCAGAAACAGAGGUGGAAAUGUAGCUCUUGUUUUCACUAUAAUAGGGACAGUGUUCAUGUCUACUUGAUGAAGAUGUGCUUGAUCAGUAAAAGCAUCUUAGAAUUUACAUGGAAUACAAAUAAUUUCCUGAAGUAUCUGCAAUAAUAGCAGCUUCAUGUUUUUGUUUUCAUAGUGUGGAACAUUCUAUUAAUUAAAAUAAUAGACUAUUCAGCUAUUGUAAAUGGCCAUCUUUGGAAUAGCUUCUUUUUUCACUUGCUGUGAAAUCCUUCCUACUGGAAAUAAAAUUAAGGGGAAAUUCCUUGGAUUUAAGCAUUUCUUUUUCCUCAGGUCCAUUAAGCACAUGCUGAAAAUGGAAAGACUUCUGAAUCCAUAGCACACUGAUAUAGAAUGGUUUGAAUGAUGUGCUGCAGAGUGCCAGUACUUCUCAAAGACAAAAUAGCAAAUGCAAGAAUGACUAAGUGUAUUCUUCUGGAAAUGUUUUUGGAAAGAAUGUCUAACCUAGCACAUUCAGUUGUACAAUUAAUCUCUCUUUAAAGCUUUCUUUUCUGGUGCAAAUACAGGCUCUAAAAGAGCUAGAUUAUUUUGUUUGUUCUGUCUGCCUGCGUUUUGUGAUGGCUUGGUAUGUUCUCACACUAACGGAAAACUGUAUACCUAUUCCAAAAAUAGAACUGUAUACCUAUUCCAGAACCUAUUUUUAAUGAUAACAUCUAACUUGUGCCAGAAUUGUGUGGUUUAAAAGAGAAGGAAAAAAAAAGGCACUGUAUCAAUGAUACUUAAGGAAUGUUACUGACUGUAUAUGAUGUUAUACAUUGAUUGUUACAAUACCACUGAGACACAAGAAAAAUAACACCAAGUGGGAAUCGAUUUUUCUUUCAGCUUUAUGUUAGUUCACCAUAUUUUACUGAGGCAUCAGAGAGCUUUGGGGAAAUUGUCUUUAACAAAAUUGAAGAACAUCUCUUAGAAGGUAUAAACUGGAAAAGAGAAUGAUAUUCACAGGUGAACUGACAGGAAAUGGAAAAUUUUGACUGUGCAACAGAAGGCUUAGUAGGUAUAGGUUAUCAUGAGCUCUGUUACAGUUCUGGAAACGUUCUGCUCUUAUAGAAUAGAAUCAUUUAAGGUUGGAAAAGAAGUCCAACCACCAACCCAUCCCCAUCCUGCCCACUAAACCAUGAC